UACAGAGGGUGCAAACGUUGUUCGGAUUUACUGGGCGUAAAGCGCGUGUAGGCGGCUUUGCAAGUCGGAUGUGAAAGCCCACGGCUCAACCGUGGAAGUGCAUCCGAAACUGCAUGGCUGGAGUCUCGGAGAGGAAGGUGGAAUGCUUGGUGUAGAGGUGAAAUUCGUAGAUAUCAAGCAGAACACCUGCGGCGAAGGCGGCCUUCUGGACGAUGACUGACGCUGAGACACGAAAGCGUGGGGAGCAAACAGG
This 253-nucleotide ribosomal RNA is filed under the name uncultured bacterium. RNAcentral describes it as "partial 16S ribosomal RNA". It matches the Rfam family "Bacterial small subunit ribosomal RNA", at positions 524 to 776 of the family's 1533-position model. The record is from RNAcentral.